UGGCCCCUAAAUCGUGCAAUAAUUAUAAAAUUGUUAAAAACAUAUUGAUGGUAUUCUUACCAUCAGUGGACAUUCUUAUUACCGUAAUUCUAUUUUACUUAAUAAGCAUCUAUUAACGGCAGUACAAAAACUUGUAUAAUGCAAACAAUACUUCACAGAUUACAUUAAAUAAUGCAUGAUUUUUCUUCAUGUUUCAGUAAUGAGAUCUUUUUUCCACCCUCAAACAUGCCCAGAAGACACAUGCUCGUUAUGAAAUCAAUGUGGCGCGGUUCAUCCAGGGGGUUUAAAUGCACAGGCAUGGUUAUGUAAGACAUCAUAAUCCACUGUUACUAUGGUUACCACAGCCCCAACUGACUUUGGUGGUGCUUCAAGAAAGCACACUUCUGCUUCUGACAUCAGUCUAGACAUCGGGACCUGUGGAAAACACGACACAUUAUACAUUUAAUGCGCUGUUUAGAACGCAUCAGAUGUAUUUUACAUGACUACUGGAGCAAAGUGCAUCUGUUGUGUGAAAGGGAUUUCGAACGGGUUCAGGCCAAUACCUCUCAAAGAUCGCGAGAUCGAGAUAAGAAAAUCCAGUCGAUGGAGUCUGAUUACCAGAGGAAGAGAGAGAGAGAGAGAGAGAGGAUGAAGAGCUGAGAGGCUGCUGGCGGAUGCUCAGGAGAGAGACAGUGUGUGUGUAGAAGGUGCCAGGAGGACGUGUCACUUGUUGGCGAUUUGGAACCGAGAGCACCUACGCUGAGCUGUUCUGGGGCCUGCUGCAUUUAACGGGAUUGGCUGAUGGACUGGGGACUGAGCCAUUAAUCUCUCCUCCCUCUUAUCCAAUUACUGCACCUAUAGAGGAGCGGAGCGGGGCAGAGAAAGCAGAGCGUUCGUGCCAAAUGCCAGCGGCGAGUCACAACACAAGAUCACAGGGACGGAGUUUUACGAUCGCAGCCAUCGUAAGGAGACGUAAAGGUGUAGCUCAAGCCGAAAUCAUCGCUUUGUCUUUAUUUACUCACCUUCUAGUGUUUCAGCUCAAACCUCAAUGGGAGGCACUGCUGGCCAUGCACCUAUCCAAUUAGAAAUUUUGUUUUUUAUAGUGUUUUUUCAGACUUGUGGAAAGAAAACAUCCAAAAGACACUGUUGAGUGUUUCUUUUAUAGCACUUUAUCUAUUUUUAUCAAUAGAUUUCAAUCGCAAUACAUAUUUUUAAAGGCCUUUUUCUGAAAAUGAGUUUGCUCUCCUACGCUGAACCAUAUAUCUCCAUACAAACACACCAAACUUUAAUUUUUUAUCCCUGUUUAUACCCUUUUUUUACAGAGGGAUUUUUCAUAUAUAAUUUGCAUGAUAAUAUAUAUUUUAUUCCCCCCAAAAACUGUCAAAAUGUGCUGUUUUCUGUCCGUUUUAAAUGAGAUACCCAAAAUUCCCUCUGUAAAAACUCUUGACCCUAAUAUGUCAAAAUAAUUAAAUAAGAAUUUUGAAUUAGAAUUUUUCCUGCGUUUAGAUUUUUGUUUUAGAAAUAUAUGCAAGUUAGCGCAUGUUUAAUUAAAUAAUGUAUUAU
Molecule: long non-coding RNA, 1542 nt
Organism: Puntigrus tetrazona (Sumatra barb)
Lineage: Eukaryota; Metazoa; Chordata; Actinopteri; Cypriniformes; Cyprinidae
Exons: 3
Source: RefSeq, a predicted model, not a curated record